RNAcentral lists this non-coding RNA (27 nucleotides) under Homo sapiens (human). Lineage: Eukaryota; Metazoa; Chordata; Mammalia; Primates; Hominidae. The record is from RNAcentral.
CAGGAGAAGGUGCUAGGUUGAGGCCUC